CACGUAGGGGGCAAGCGUUGUCCGGAUUUAUUGGGCGUAAAGAGCUCGUAGGUGGUUCGGUAAGUCGGGUGUGAAACCUCCAGGCUCAACCUGGAGACGCCACCCGAUACUGCUGUGACUGGAGUCCGGUAGGGGAGCGUGGAAUUCCUGGUGUAGCGGUGAAAUGCGCAGAUAUCAGGAGGAACACCGGCGGCGAAGGCGGCACUCUGGGCCGGUACUGACGCUGAGGAGCGAAAGCGUGGGUAGCAAACAGG
This 254-nucleotide ribosomal RNA is filed under the name uncultured bacterium. Its description in RNAcentral is "partial 16S ribosomal RNA". It matches the Rfam family "Bacterial small subunit ribosomal RNA", at positions 524 to 776 of the family's 1533-position model. The record is from RNAcentral.